UACGAAGGGGGCUAGCGUUGUUCGGAAUCACUGGGCGUAAAGCGCACGUAGGCGGGUUGUUAAGUCAGGGGUGAAAUCCUGGAGCUCAACUCCAGAACUGCCUUUGAUACUGGCAACCUAGAGGCUGGAAGAGGUUAGUGGAAUUCCCAGUGUAGAGGUGAAAUUCGUAGAUAUUGGGAAGAACACCAGUGGCGAAGGCGGCUAACUGGUCCAGAUCUGACGCUGAGGUGCGAAAGCGUGGGGAGCAAACAGG
This 253-nucleotide ribosomal RNA is filed under the name uncultured bacterium. Its description in RNAcentral is "partial 16S ribosomal RNA". It matches the Rfam family "Bacterial small subunit ribosomal RNA", at positions 524 to 776 of the family's 1533-position model. The record is from RNAcentral.